RNAcentral lists this ribosomal RNA (445 nucleotides) under uncultured bacterium. RNAcentral's name for it is "bacterial SSU rRNA". It matches the Rfam family "Bacterial small subunit ribosomal RNA", at positions 331 to 793 of the family's 1533-position model. The record is from RNAcentral.
CCAGACUCCUACGGGAGGCAGCAGUAGGGAAUUUUCGUCAAUGGGCGCAAGCCUGAACGAGCGACGCCGCGUGGGUGAAGAAGCGCCUCGGCGCGUAAAGCCCUGUCAGCAGGGAAGAAAAUGACGGUACCUGAAGAAGAAGCACCGGCUAAAUACGUGCCAGCAGCCGCGGUAAUACGUAUGGUGCGAGCGUUGUCCGGAUUUACUGGGCGUGAAGGGGGCGCAGGCGGCGCGCCAAGCCCGAUGUGAAAGCCCGGGGCUCAACCCCGGGACUGCAUUGGGAACUGGCGUGCUGGAGUGCCGGAGGGGCAGGCGGAAUUCCUGGUGUAGCGGUGAAAUGCGUAGAUAUCAGGAGGAACACCGGUGGCGAAGGCGGCCUGCUGGACGGAUACUGACGCUGAGGCCCGAAAGCGUGGGGAGCGAACAGGAUUAGAUACCCUAGUAA